RNAcentral lists this microRNA (21 nucleotides) under Sus scrofa (pig). RNAcentral's name for it is "ssc-miR-9816-3p". The record is from miRBase by way of RNAcentral. Lineage: Eukaryota; Metazoa; Chordata; Mammalia; Artiodactyla; Suidae.
CUGGAAGGAUUUGGGUAGGGA